Molecule: unclassified non-coding RNA, 401 nt
Filed under: soil metagenome
Description: partial contains 5.8S ribosomal RNA, internal transcribed spacer 2, and large subunit ribosomal RNA
Rfam family: 5.8S ribosomal RNA (bases 1-121)
Source: RNAcentral
GAUGAAGAACGUAGCGAAAUGCGAUAGGUAGUGUGAAUUGCAGAUGUAACGUGAAUCAUCGAAUCUUUGAACGCAAAUUGCACUCUCUGGUAUUCCGGGGAGUAUGCCUGUUUGAGGGUCGCCAAAUCAACAUCGAAAUUCAUUUGCUUUUGUAAAUGUUUAUCGGAUUUGAGCCGUCUUUUUAUUUUUUUUAAAGUGGCUUAAAAUGUAUUUUUUUGGUAUCGAAAAACGUUAUUUUACGAUCCAAUCGAUCAAAAAACAAACGUUUCGAAUGCCGUCUUUUAAUGUAAUACGUUUGACUGUGUCAUACAAUCAUGGUUUCAUUCGUAUACGAGUUUAAUUUUUGACCUCAAAUCAGGUAAGAACACCCGCUGAACUUAAGCAUAUCAAUAAGCGGAGGA